GUGAGGAAUAUUGGUCAAUGGGCGCGAGCCUGAACCAGCCAAGUAGCGUGAGGGAUGACUGCCCUAUGGGUUGUAAACCUCUUUUGCAGGGGGGUAAAGUGGUUCACGUGUGGACCAUUGCAAGUACCCUGCGAAUAAGGAUCGGCUAACUCCGUGCCAGCAGCCGCGGUAAUACGGAGGAUCCGAGCGUUAUCCGGAUUUAUUGGGUUUAAAGGGAGCGUAGGCGGGGGUUUAAGUCAGCUGUGAAAUGCCGUGGCCCAACCAUGGAACUGCAGUUGAAACUGGACCUCUUGAGAGUACAUAAGGAAGGCGGAAUUCGUGGUGUAGCGGUGAAAUGCAUAGAUAUCACGAAGAACUCCGAUUGCGAAGGCAGCUUUCCGGGGUACAUCUGACGCUGAAGCUCGAAAGUGCGGGAAUCAAACAGGAUUAGAAACCCCGGUAGUCC
This 445-nucleotide ribosomal RNA is filed under the name uncultured bacterium. RNAcentral's name for it is "partial 16S ribosomal RNA". It matches the Rfam family "Bacterial small subunit ribosomal RNA", at positions 354 to 796 of the family's 1533-position model. The record is from RNAcentral.